RNAcentral lists this ribosomal RNA (496 nucleotides) under uncultured bacterium. RNAcentral's name for it is "partial 16S ribosomal RNA". It matches the Rfam family "Bacterial small subunit ribosomal RNA", at positions 28 to 506 of the family's 1533-position model. The record is from RNAcentral.
GUUGAACACUGGCGGCGUGCCUAAUACAUGCAAGUCGAGCGAACAGACGAGGAGCUUUCUCCUCUGACGUUAGCGGCGGACGGGCGAGUAACACGUGGAUAACCUACCUCUAAGUCUUGGAUAACAUCGUGAAACCGGAGCUAAUACCGGCUCAUAUAUUCUACCGCUUGGUUCAAUAGUGAAAGACGGUUUUGCUGUCACUUUUAGAUGGAUCCGCGCGGCAUUAGCUACUUGGUAAGGUAACGGCUUACCAAGGCGACGUCGCGUAGCGGACCUGAGAGGGUGUACGGCAACACGGGAACUAGAACGCGGUCCAAACUCCAAGGGGAGGCAGCAUUGGGAAAUCUUCAGCAAUGGGGAAAAGCCGAACGGAGCAACGCGGCGUGAGUGAGAAGGGUUUUCGGUUCGUAAACCUCUGUGAUGAGAAAAGAACAAAUGUGGAAGAAACUAUGCUCGUCUGAAGGGUACCAAAGAAGAAAGCCCCGGCUAACUACGG